ACGGAAUAAACUAAGCUGCACCGGGACGCUUAAAGAUUUUAACUGGACACCGAAUUCACCAGGAGGAUAUGGAUUCUCUUCGAUAUAGUGGAACAAUUCGAAGACUACGAGUGCCUAUCCACAAGUACCGAACAACUUGUUCUUACUUUUUUUCUUCAACGUUUACUAGAAAGGAAGUGGUAUGUAAAGACUACAACUCAAUUGGAUACCAUUGCGUCCGGUUCUGUCCACCUAUAUAGGAAAAAAAUAUAUAACUUUGAAUGGGAAAGACCUCUCAAACCUUUACCCGGACAUAAAAGGCAUUGGAAUCAUCUAUGUUUGCAAGAAAGAAACAAUCAGGAUCAACGGUGGCCUGCACAGCAACAGCAACCUUAAAUUGCUUUGCACGAAUGAUGUUGGUGUUGUUGGCACUCGUGAGGCUAUUAAAAAGACCGUCAGCAUCGAAUCGCAAAAAAAAAAUAUUGAGAACUAAGUUCAGUUUAUAGAAGUGAAGGACAAUAAACCAAAAUUAAUAAGUUUAAUAGGAUUACUAUACCAUUCGAUAUUUUGUUACAAGUUCGCCACUAUCGCUUUUUGUCAGAAUAAUCACGCGAUCGAUGA
Molecule: long non-coding RNA, 600 nt
Organism: Uranotaenia lowii
Lineage: Eukaryota; Metazoa; Arthropoda; Insecta; Diptera; Culicidae
Exons: 3
Source: RefSeq, a predicted model, not a curated record